Long non-coding RNA from Zeugodacus cucurbitae (melon fly), 4872 nucleotides. RefSeq annotates it as pupal cuticle protein 36. Lineage: Eukaryota; Metazoa; Arthropoda; Insecta; Diptera; Tephritidae. The transcript has 4 exons. The record is from RefSeq and is a predicted model, not a curated record.
AGUCGCGAGCAGCGGAGAAAUUUUGGCUUUGUCAGACGUGAAAUGAUUUCAGUCAGGUUUUGUGCGUAAAAGAGAGAAGCGACACUGAUUUGGCUUGAAGGCGCAAGUUUAAAUAACAUUUAAUUAUUCUCCACCAACAAGUAAUGAAUACGACGAUAGAAUAAAUAAUGGGAGUGACAUUAUACGAUUGUUAUGAAGCAGUAAUGAGAGAUCCACAAAUGUAAGUGCGUAGUUCACCAUCAUCGACUUAAAGAGGACGGUUUAAACCCAAAAUCAAUAAUACUUAAUCAGAUUAUUGUUUGGAAAGUUAGUGCGUAUUUUUAGAACUCAAGCGCCUUAUCUUCUUAUCUUGAGAUAAUGUAGCAGAUCAUCUAGGAGAAUUAAAGUUAGUUAUUCUAUAUAAUAAUAUUUUUCUCCAAAUACAAGGGGUUAACUACACACCUUGAUGAAGUCAUAAUAUAAAAUUUAAAAACGUUAGAGAUUUUACUAAAAACUAUCAUCUUAAAAUUAUCACUAGAAGUGCAGCCUCAGAGUUCUUAAAACCAGUUAAGACAAUAUUAAAGUAGAUGAGAAUCUUCUCCAUUCUAGUACCAAAGAUUUGAAAUAAAAUAAUAAGCGAAUUUUAGGUUAUCGAGGGUAUUUGUUCAAUUUGGAAAAUACUAAUACCGAAAUAGAGAGUUGAAAGACACAAAAGACAAGAAUCAAAUACCUUAAUAUGCGAGUACCUACCGACCUAUGAGCUUUAACCCUUUAAGAGGUUCAAUAUUAUCUUGGGAUAUAUUGAAAAUAUAGAAUUAUAUGGCAUUUGUCAGUAACAGAAAAUACUUAAUACUCUAACUGUGGCAACAUUGCAUGUUUCUCAACACUUUCACACUCCAAAUAGUUAAACAAAAACUAACUUACGGAAGAACAAUGGGUAAUACAUUGUAUAGAUUUCUUCUUAGAAUUGGUUUCUCACGUUAUAGAGAAUUCAAGAUAAAAUGCGUAGAGAUCUCAAUCUUCUAUAUUUAUAUACAAAUUGAAGAACUUUGCUCAUCAUUUUGUAUUUGUUUUCAAAGCGAGAGGUGAUUAAUUAUUUAGCAAAAAUCUAUUAAUUAUACUACUUCCGCAUUUGUGCAAAUAAUUAUAAAAAAAUAUUUAUGUACAAUUUUAAUUAAUGGAUACAUAAGUUUAUGUACCAUAUGAACACGCCUAAAGGUAAAAUACAAAUACAAGGAAGUAUACAUAAACCUUCACUCGAUAUUCAAAAUAUCCAAAAAUUAUUUUAUGUGGUUUAAGAAUUCAGCUAUUUUCAAAGAAUAGGGAAAUUAUGGACACUACUAAAAAAAUUUCUCAGAUUCCCGGCUUCCACAGCGGGUACUGCAUCGAAAACUUUCAGAGCUGGGGCACUUUCGUCCAUUCGAACAACAUGACCUAGCCAGCGUAGCCGCUGUCUUGUUAUUCGCUGGACUAUGUCAAUGUCGUCGUAUAGAUCGUACAGCUCAUCGUUCCAUCGUCUUCGGUAUUCGCCGUUGCCAAUGUUUAAGGAACCAUAAAUCUUCCAAAACCUUUCUCUCGAAAACUCCUAGUGCCGUGUCUUCGGAUGUUGACACCAUCCAUGCUUCUACACCAUAAAGUAGGACGGUAGUGAUGAGGGACUUGUAGAGUUUAGUUUUUGUUUGUCGAGAGAGGAUUUUCUUUUAAAUUGCCUACUCAGUCCAUAGUCCAUAGUAAGACAACCACUACCUUUUUUAUAGAGCGAGAUCUGGACGUAAGAUUGUCGUUGGAGGACGUUUUUAAAUGUCACCUUCGGUAUCAAUAUAAAUAUUAUAAGAGACCAGGUUCCUGGUGUGAGGAGACAGCAUGCGUUGUUCUAUUAACGCCUCAAAAUACCAGAACAUAAUUAUAACAUAGAGAUAGGGUAGCUACAAAAGUAGACCGAUAGGAACAGCAAACGACGCCAUUGGCCGCCUCGGUCGUGCCAUUUGAUGCCGUUAGACUAUUUCCUGGUGGGGCUACGUCAAGUCAAUGGUGUAUGCCAACAAACCAGCGACGAUUGAUGUACUUCGACGAUUAUCGAACGUGAAUUGCAGCAGUAUCGGCCGAUUAAUGCUUGAAAACAGUCGAAAAUUUGGUUCAGGGUCUGGACUUUUGCAAGUGUACCCGUUUUUAUACAAGUUUGUAGUGAAGUUGCUUGCAGUUAGAAAUUCCUUGGUGCUUCGAGUGAAUUUUGGAAUUCUGGCAAUCAUCUAUCGAAACGGAAGCCGUAACUUAUAUCCAAAUGGAUUUCGAGGAGCUAGUCUUACGACUCAUAAUCACGACACUAACUAACCGCAUAUUAUUAACUAAUUAGAGUGUCCUGUUAUCUAUAAACAACGAAAGAGUGAUGUUAAUCUGAAGCGACACAAAUCAGUUAUAAUUUAUUUUUUUAUCGAAGCGCCUCCUUAAAUAGCUUAGCAAAUGUUUUGAAACCAAAAUUUGGAAACCAGUUUAAUUCAUACAUGAGUGAAACUGUUAAUUUAUAUUUUCUAGUAAACAAAUUUUAAUAUUUCUGCAUUUCCAGCUGCAGUUGACUAACUAAAUGAGCUGAUUAUCAGAUAACCGCCAGGCAGACAAAAAGACCACAGUGAUCUCAUCAGACCCCUCUCAUCUCAACUAUUAUAACUACUCCGGUAAUCCGGCUAAGACAGACAAUCACGUAGACGAAAUGAAAUUGGCGAAAUUCUCGUUUUGCAAGCGGUUUUUGCCUAAUGAAUUGCCAAAUUCACGAAUCGGCACAAUGUCAUAUUUGCAUAUUGAAAAGUCGGUGCUACAAUGGACUACGAUGAUAUAUGACAAAUGUAUUUUGAUUUAUGUGCAGAUUUGUUGAGGCGACAUCAGAUUAAAACACAAAAAGCUGUCAAAGCACCGACUGAAUGGUGGUUGGAAAUUCGCAACGAAUGUUGUUGGCGGUAGUGGGCUUCACCACCCUGCUCGCGGCAUUGCAUUUUGCAUUGCGGCUCAGUCUAAGCGAGAGAUCGAAUGUUAUGCGACUACAUUGAGUGAGUGCGUUUGUUGUAUAAUUAAUAAGUUUUUUUUAUAAACAAUUAAAUUGUCAAAGCUAUGCUGCAGAAAGCACCGUUAAAUAUGCAAAGAUUAACGCACAAUAACAACAAAAGACACUGUAGACAAUUGGUAAGAGGAGGAGGAGGCGUGUUGGGGUUUUGGAAGUGUGAUUAAGAAAAAUAUUAGACAACAACAACAUCAACAUACAUCCAUCAAUCUGAUUAGUUGAAUAUGAAAGAUGCGUUGUGCCGAUGUACAUAUGUUAGCUGACUCAUAACAAGACAAGCUCAGGCGUUGAAUGAGCAUGCGCGCCAACGGCUUAUUACCACUCAUAAUUAAGCUUCAAUUAAUCAGAAAGAAAAUCAAAUGUCAGUGAUGGCAUAAAAUAUGUUUAAUUUUUGUUUUUGUUGUAUAAACAAAACAUAGUUAUUAACUUUAACUUUUUGGGCGUUUUAGUAUAUAUUAUUUGAACAAAAAAAAAAAGAAGAAAUAUUUUUAGAUUGCGUUUUACGCGCUUGAUGCGCCAAAGCCGUUAGUCAAAUUGCAAUGAGGAACCAGUAGCUCAUCUGCGUAAUCAUGGUGGCUAUAAAAAGCACAAUCAGCUGUAGCCAAAUCAUCAGUUAAACAGCGAACAACCAACAGCAAGUGGUUUUGUGUUGAUACAACUAGCAAACUAAACAAACAAUAAGUCAGAAAAUGCGUCUAUUUUUGGUACUCUGCUGCACUUUAGUUGCCAUCGCCAAUGGCAAGCCACAAGGAUACAAUUAUGGUACUGGCAUCUCAGGUGGCAACGCACAGGGCGGCUCCUACCAUAGUGGCAGCAGCAGUUUUAGCGGUGGUCUGAGCGGACUCGGUGGCUUGAGCGGCGGCGGCAGUGGCUUCGGAGGCUUUGGUAGUGCCUCCAGCAGCGGACCAAGCUUCGGUGGUUUCCACGGCGGUAGCAGUGGCGGUUUCAGCAGCGGUGGCAGCAUUGGUCACGGAUUCGGUAGCGGUAUUGGUGGCGGCAGUGGUAUCGGUGGUGGCAACUUCGGCGUCGGCUCCGGUGGUUUCGGCAGCGGUGUUGGUGGUGGAUUUGGUGGUUAUAACGGACAACAACAACAAACUGGCGUCUUUGAAGCCCCACUUGUACACAAACAAUUCAUUACCGUUUCGGCACCUGAAGAUCAUGAAUCUUUGGAGAAAACCAAACAUUUCGUUAUUGGACGCCCACAAAAGAAUUAUCGCGUCGUCUUCAUUAAGGCACCAUCAUCCAGCUCGGCUAAUGUCAAACUAUCCGCGGAAUAUGCACCACAAGAGGAGAAGACCGUUAUUUAUGUGUUGUCCAAGAAGGACUCAUCACUCGAAGUCAACGAUAUUGCCACACCAGCACCAACAGUGCCCGCCAAACCCGAAGUAUUCUUUAUCAAAUACAAAACCGAAGAGGAAGCGCAUCACGCACAACAACAAAUUCAAGCCGAAUACGACAGAAUCGAGGGUACCUCCGAACACACCGAUGGCGGCAUUGGUCAACAGCAGUCGGUGGUUGGCAUUUUGGAUGGCGGUGCUGGUCAAGCUGGUGGAAAUGGCGGCGCUGGUAUUGGUGGCGGUGUUGGCAUUGGUGGCGGUAACUUUGUGGGUUCUUCUAGCUCUAACUUUGCCGUUAGCCAAAGCAGUUCAAGUGGCGCUAAAUCUUCCACCUACUUGCCACCAGCCAAAGCAGUCUAAGAAUAGGCAAUUUAGCAUUUUUCAAUUUUAAUGUUUGUUAUGACGACUUUUUUUAUAUACCUCAAAAGCAAUUUAAGUAACUACUGUUAACUGUUAAAAAACAGCGAAGAAAUAUUUUUUUAAUAAAAACCGCAAACAAACGAA